This 516-nucleotide ribosomal RNA is filed under the name uncultured soil bacterium. RNAcentral's name for it is "bacterial SSU rRNA". It matches the Rfam family "Bacterial small subunit ribosomal RNA", at positions 35 to 555 of the family's 1533-position model. The record is from RNAcentral.
GCUGGCGGCGUGCUUAACACAUGCAAGUCGAGUGCGCGCCUGUAGCAAUACAGGUGGCGCACGGCGCACGGGUGCGUAACACGUGGGUAAUCUGCCCUCUGAUGGGGAAUAACUCGCCGAAAGGCGAGCUAAUUCCGCAUAAUAUUCCGAGAACUUUGGUUUUUGGACUGAAAGGCGUAAGUCGUCGGAGGAGGAGCCCGCGCACGAUUAGCUAGUUGGUAGGGUAAUGGCCUACCAAGGCUUUGAUCGUUAGCUGGUCUGAGAGGAUGGCCAGCCACACUGGAACUGAGACACGGUCCAGACUCCUACGGGAGGCAGCAGUGGGGAAUCUUGCACAAUGGGCGAAAGCCUGAUGCAGCGACGCCGCGUGGGGGAUGAAGCUUCUCGGAGUGUAAACCCCUUUCGAUCCGGACGAAACCCCGCAAGGGAUUGACGGUACGGAUAUAAGAAGCCCCGGCUAACUACGUGCCAGCAGCCGCGGUAAUACGUAGGGGGCCAGCGUUGUUCGGAAUUACU